UCUGCUCAGGAUGAACGCUGGCGGCGUGCCUAAUACAUGCAAGUCGAACGCACAGCGAAAGGUGCUUGCACCUUUCAAGUGAGUGGCGAACGGGUGAGUAACACGUGGACAACCUGCCUCAAGGCUGGGGAUAACAUUUGGAAACAGAUGCUAAUACCGAAUAAAACUUAGUGUCGCAUGACAUAAAGUUAAAAGGCGCUUCGGCGUCACCUAGAGAUGGAUCCGCGGUGCAUUAGUUAGUUGGUGGGGUAAAGGCCUACCAAGACAAUGAUGCAUAGCCGAGUUGAGAGACUGAUCGGCCACAUUGGGACUGAGACACGGCCCAAACUCCUACGGGAGGCUGCAGUAGGGAAUCUUCCACAAUGGGCGAAAGCCUGAUGGAGCAACGCCGCGUGUGUGAUGAAGGCUUUCGGGUCGUAAAGCACUGUUGUAUGGGAAGAACAGCUAGAAUAGGAAAUGAUUUUAGUUUGACGGUACCAUACCAGAAAGGGACGGCUAAAUACGUGCCAGCAGCCGCGGUAAUACGUAUGUCCCGAGCGUUAUCCGGAUUUAUUGGGCGUAAAGCGAGCGCAGACGGUUUAUUAAGUCUGAUGUGAAAGCCCGGAGCUCAACUCCGGAAUGGCAUUGGAAACUGGUUAACUUGAGUGCAGUAGAGGUAAGUGGAACUCCCAUGUGUAGCGGUGGAAUGCGUAGAUAUAUGGAAGAACACCAGUGGCGAAGGCGGCUUAUCUGGACUGCAACUGACGCUGAGGC
This 753-nucleotide ribosomal RNA is filed under the name Leuconostoc mesenteroides. RNAcentral's name for it is "bacterial SSU rRNA". It matches the Rfam family "Bacterial small subunit ribosomal RNA", at positions 19 to 752 of the family's 1533-position model. The record is from RNAcentral. Lineage: Bacteria; Bacillati; Bacillota; Bacilli; Lactobacillales; Lactobacillaceae.